RNAcentral lists this transfer RNA (69 nucleotides) under Marmota monax (woodchuck). It matches the Rfam family "tRNA". From Rfam's summary of the family: Transfer RNA (tRNA) molecules are approximately 80 nucleotides in length. Their secondary structure includes four short double-helical elements and three loops (D, anti-codon, and T loops). Lineage: Eukaryota; Metazoa; Chordata; Mammalia; Rodentia; Sciuridae. The record is from Rfam by way of RNAcentral.
GGAGUUGUGGCUCAGUGGUAGAGCUCUCACCUAGCAAGUGAGAGGCCCUGGGUUUGACCCUCAGCACCA